UGGCUCAGGACGAACGCUGGCGGCGUGCCUAAUACAUGCAAGUAGAACGCUGAAGGAGGAGCUUGCUUCUCCGGAUGAGUUGCGAACGGGUGAGUAACGCGUAGGUAACCUGCCUGGUAGCGGGGGAUAACUAUUGGAAACGAUAGCUAAUACCGCAUAAGAGUAGAUGUUGCAUGACAUUUGCUUAAAAGGUGCAAUUGCAUCACUACCAGAUGGACCUGCGUUGUAUUAGCUAGUUGGUGGGGGUAACGGCUCACCAAGGCGACGAUACAUAGCCGACCUGAAAAGGGUGAUCGGGCCACAACUGGGGACUGAAACCACGGCCCAAGACUCCUACGGGAGGCAGCAGUAGGGAAUCUUUCGGCAAUGGACGGAAGUUCUGACACGAGACCACCGGCCGGCGUGAGUGAAAGAGGUUUUCGGGAUCGUAAAGCUUCUGGUUGUAAAGGAAGACCAAUGGGAGAAUUGGAAGGUCACCCGUGUGAACGUAAUCCUACAGGAAGGGGAGCCUUCUACCUUGGAAGCCGCCGGGGUUUAAUAUGGGUCCCCACGGUUGCGGGUUUUUUGGGCGUAAGGCGCGGGAAGGGGUAGUAUAGUCCGAAGUAUAAGCGGGGGUUAACCCUUGACCCUUUGGAAACUGUUUACUUUAUGGCAAGGGGAAAUGGAUUCCUGGGACGGUGAAUGGUAAUUUGGGGAACCCGGGGGAAACGCUCUUGGUUGAACUGCCUGAGGCUGAAACUGGGAACAAAGAUAUAACCUGGUAUCCAGCCUAACAUGAUGCUAGGUAACCUCGGGUAGGCGUAUAGCAUAGCUCGCUGAUCACGGAGUGACAAGAU
Molecule: ribosomal RNA, 836 nt
Filed under: uncultured bacterium
Lineage: Bacteria
Description: bacterial SSU rRNA
Rfam family: Bacterial small subunit ribosomal RNA
Source: RNAcentral